This 468-nucleotide ribosomal RNA is filed under the name uncultured bacterium. RNAcentral's name for it is "partial 16S ribosomal RNA". It matches the Rfam family "Bacterial small subunit ribosomal RNA", at positions 28 to 507 of the family's 1533-position model. The record is from RNAcentral.
GGCGAACGCUGGCGGCGUGCUUAACACAUGCAAGUCGAACGGAAAGGCCCUGCUUUUGUGGGGUGCUCGAGUGGCGAACGGGUGAGUAACACGUGAGUAACCUGCCCUUGACUUUGGGAUAACUUCAGGAAACUGGGGCUAAUACCGGAUAGGAGCUCCUGCUGCAUGGUGGGGGUUGGAAAGUUUCGGCGGUUGGGGAUGGACUCGCGGCUUAUUAGCUUGUUGGUGGGGUAGUGGCUUACCAAGGCUUUGACGGGUAGCCGGCCUGAGAGGGUGACCGGCCACAUUGGGACUGAGAUACGGCCCAGACUCCUACGGGAGGCAGCAGUGGGGAAUAUUGCACAAUGGGCGGAAGCCGGAUGCAGCAACGCCGCGUGCGGGAUGACGGCCUUCGGGUUGUAAACCGCUUUCGCCUGUGACGAAGCGUGAGUGACGGUAAUGGGUAAAGAAGCACCGGCUAACUACGUG